UUGUAGGACACUCUAUACGGAGUUACAAAGGACGACAUUAGACGAAUCAUCUGGAAAGAUGAAUCAAAGAAGGUAAUAAUCCUGUAGUCGAAAAUGUUGUCUCUCUUGAGUGGAUCCUGAGUACGACGGAGCACGUGAAAUUCCGUCGGAAUCUGGGAGGACCAUCUCCUAAGGCUAAAUACUCUCUAGUGACCGAUAGUGAACCAGUACCGUGAGGGAAAGGUGAAAAGCACCCCGGAAGGGGAGUGAAAUAGAACCUGAAACCGUGUGCUUACAAGUAGUCAGAGCCCGUUAAUGGGUGAUGGCGUGCCUUUUGUAGAAUGAACCGGCGAGUUACGAUUUGAUGCAAGGUUAAGCAGUAAAUGUGGAGCCGUAGCGAAAGCGAGUCUGAAUAGGGCGUUUAGUAUUUGGUCGUAGACCCGAAACCAGGUGAUCUACCCUUGGUCAGGUUGAAGUUCAGGUAACACUGAAUGGAGGACCGAACCGACUUACGUUGAAAAGUGAGCGGAUGAACUGAGGGUAGCGGAGAAAUUCCAAUCGAACCUGGAGAUAGCUGGUUCUCUCCGAAAUAGCUUUAGGGCUAGCCUCAAGUGAUGAUUAUUGGAGGUAGAGCACUGUUUGGACGAGGGGCCCCUCUCGGGUUACCGAAUUCAGACAAACUCCGAAUGCCAAUUAAUUUAACUUGGGAGUCAGAACAUGGGUGAUAAGGUCCGUGUUCGAAAGGGAAACAGCCCAGACCACCAGCUAAGGUCCCAAAAUAUAUGUUAAGUGGAAAAGGAUGUGGCGUUGCCCAGACAACUAGGAUGUUGGCUUAGAAGCAGCCAUCAUUUAAAGAGUGCGUAAUAGCUCACUAGUCGAGUGACACUGCGCCGAAAAUGUACCGGGGCUAAACAUAUUACCGAAGCUGUGGAUUGUCCUUUGGACAAUGGUAGGAGAGCGUUCUAAGGGCGUUGAAGCAUGAUCGUAAGGACAUGUGGAGCGCUUAGAAGUGAGAAUGCCGGUGUGAGUAGCGAAAGACGGGUGAGAAUCCCGUCCACCGAUUGACUAAGGUUUCCAGAGGAAGGCUCGUCCGCUCUGGGUUAGUCGGGUCCUAAGCUGAGGCCGACAGGCGUAGGCGAUGGAUAACAGGUUGAUAUUCCUGUACCACCUAUA
Molecule: ribosomal RNA, 1152 nt
Filed under: Staphylococcus aureus
Lineage: Bacteria; Bacillati; Bacillota; Bacilli; Caryophanales; Staphylococcaceae
Description: partial 23S ribosomal RNA
Rfam family: Bacterial large subunit ribosomal RNA
Source: RNAcentral